This 147-nucleotide non-coding RNA is filed under the name Nomascus leucogenys (northern white-cheeked gibbon). The record is from Rfam by way of RNAcentral. Lineage: Eukaryota; Metazoa; Chordata; Mammalia; Primates; Hylobatidae.
GCUGGGCAUGGUGUCACAUGCCUGUAAUCCCAGCUACUUGGGAGGCUGAGGCAGGAGAAUCACUUGAACCCGGGAGGUGGAGGUUGCAGUGAGCUGAGAUGUGUCACUGCACUCCAGCCUGGGCAACAGAGCGAGACCCUGUCUCAA